Molecule: ribosomal RNA, 461 nt
Filed under: uncultured soil bacterium
Lineage: Bacteria
Description: bacterial SSU rRNA
Rfam family: Bacterial small subunit ribosomal RNA
Source: RNAcentral
AGAUUGAACGCUGGCGGCAUGCUUUACACAUGCAAGUCGAACGGUAACAGGCCGCAAGGUGCUGACGAGUGGCGAACGGGUGAGUAAUGCAUCGGAACGUGCCCAGUCGUGGGGGAUAACGCAGCGAAAGCUGUGCUAAUACCGCAUACGAUCUAUGGAUGAAAGCGGGGGACCGAAAGGCCUCGCGCGAUUGGAGCGGCCGAUGUCAGAUUAGCUAGUUGGUGGGGUAAAGGCCCACCAAGGCGACGAUCUGUAGCUGGUCUGAGAGGACGACCAGCCACACUGGAACUGAGACACGGUCCAGACUCCUACGGGAGGCAGCAGUGGGGAAUUUUGGACAAUGGGCGCAAGCCUGAUCCAGCAAUGCCGCGUGCAGGAAGAAGGCCUUCGGUGUAACGUGUCUUUAGUACGGAACGAAACGGUCUAGGUUAAUACCGUCGGACUAAUGACGGUACCGUAAG